This 61-nucleotide transfer RNA is filed under the name Palaemon serenus. Its description in RNAcentral is "tRNA-Ala". The record is from RNAcentral. Lineage: Eukaryota; Metazoa; Arthropoda; Malacostraca; Decapoda; Palaemonidae.
GAGACGGUAGUCAACGAUGACAUUUGCCUUGCACGCAGAAAGUACCCCCUAGGUUCGUCUU